GGGAAGGAAAGGCCAGAAGUGACUCCUGCCGUAGCUGCGGCAGGCCUGGAGGCCGUACUGGGACCUGGCCAAAGACCCAGAAGUCCAGCUUUGAAGAAAACCUGGAGAAAGAGAGAGUCACAAAUCAUCUCCAUACUGCAGGAGAUGCAGAAAUGGCAGAAGGUACUUGGAUCAGGUGUAAAUAAAUAACGAUAUACCUUGCUUGUUGACCUGGGACUCAGCAAUGUCAGCCCGUUCCUCGGCCUCCUCCAGCUCGUGCUGGAUCCUGCGGAAUUUGGAGAGGUUGACGUUGGAUUGUUCCUCCUGUGAAUGGAAAUCCAUUUAUGAGGGAAGAAAGUUCAGAAUUUUUCCAUUCUUAGGGCGGCACAGGCAGCAUUUGUCCUCUCAACAUCAAUCAUGAGGUCCUCAACUUCAUUCUGGAGCCUCUGCUUCGUCUUCUCAAGGGAAGCACAUUUGGCAUUCACAGCUUCUACAUGUUCCUCAGCAUCCUGCAGACGCUGAGCCAGCUUCUUCCUAUGAAAUAUGGGCAAUAAAAGUGAAUGGCUGUCAACUGAAUUGGGUGUUUCAAAGUGGGUACAAGAGAGUGAAUUCCACAAUCAGACUUCUUUAAUACUUUGCUUCUCAAGCUUGUUUUGUAGGUCCAGUUCUAUAUUAACUCAUUCCCAUUAUCCUACCACCAAAUACCAAAAACAACCCCAGUUUUGGUAUUGCCAUACUUCAUAGAGUGGCUUUAAGGCCAUCCAUGACAAGCAUGAGCUAACACUUUACCCUUCCAGGUAGCUGGUUUAUUCCUCUUCUGUAGAAUAUUAAUAUCUACCUUGAAUUACUGGUUUGUUUUUCUGUGUCUCCACAUAAUUUUAAUCCCCAGAGGGAGAGUCUGUACUGUACUAAUCUUUGUAUUCUUGUAGGCUGUCCAACAUAUUAAGGGCUCAAAUGUUGGAUAAAUUGAAUUCAAAUGAAAUAUACUUGAUUUUGUCUGUCUAAUUGUAUCCCUUAUUUGUGCUAGUUUUUAAUUAAUCCAUUAAUAAUAAAGAAGCUUUCCCAC
RNAcentral lists this long non-coding RNA (1045 nucleotides) under Homo sapiens (human). Its description in RNAcentral is "HSALNT0388446". The record is from RNAcentral. Lineage: Eukaryota; Metazoa; Chordata; Mammalia; Primates; Hominidae.